UUCAGAUACAGUCUCAGGAUAUCUUGACUGUUUCCUGUGGAUUCACAGAGCAGCUGAAAGAGUGAAUUCUGAAGAUCUUGUCCUCUCUUUAUAUGUAGUCUGAGGGACCUGGAGUCUGACUCUUCGUUCAGCUGUCCCUUGCAAUCCUAUUGAUCUGGACCACAUUCUAAUGCCCUGUGUUGUGCCAAAUGAGGAGAGAACCAGUUGCAUAUGCCAUGCUUUGCAGGAGGGGAUAAAACCUAUGCAAAGCAGUAGGAAUGGGUCUUUUCACAUGUUUCAGAAGAUGCCUAUUAGGAUGACAGCACAGACAAAACAAGCAAACUUACAAAGGAUGCCUUUACAGAAGAGGGAGGAGAACGGAACAAAUCCUUCAGAACAAACUGUAUUUCUAGUACACAACUAUGCAUCCUUUCACCAAGAUUUCCUCCAUUUAAAUAAGAUUAUGAAAAUAUUUUCCCAUCCCCUGCAUAUAAUGUCAAAUUUAAAUUACUCUUCUUACUCACUAGUAUUUCUCAUGAACUUCUCAUCUGGUUGCAUUUAGAGUAUCUGGUUUUUUCACGCCACUGCCUUCCCCCAUCCCUCCAUUUCAAUAAAACCUGUUAACGCACUUGAGAGUCAAACAUGAACAAAAAAUCUCCUAUUCCUUCCAAAGUAUGGCAUUCAUGAAGAUGACAUAAAUAAAUAAACAUUCUCUAGUGUUCUGUUUCUUUUGUCUAGCUUAUUGGUGUUGAGAAACCCUCUUCUUCA
This is a long non-coding RNA of Onychostruthus taczanowskii (white-rumped snowfinch), 747 nucleotides long. RefSeq lists it as uncharacterized. The record is from RefSeq and is a predicted model, not a curated record. Lineage: Eukaryota; Metazoa; Chordata; Aves; Passeriformes; Passeridae. The transcript is spliced from 3 exons.